This 301-nucleotide ribosomal RNA is filed under the name uncultured bacterium. RNAcentral's name for it is "partial 16S ribosomal RNA". It matches the Rfam family "Bacterial small subunit ribosomal RNA", at positions 509 to 807 of the family's 1533-position model. The record is from RNAcentral.
CAGUAGCCGCGGUAAUACGUAGGGAGCAAGCGUUGUUCGGAUUUACUGGGCGUAAAGGGCGCGUAGGCGGCGCGGUAAGUCACUUGUGAAAUCUCUGAGCUUAACUCAGAACGGCCAAGUGAUACCGCUGUGCUAGAGUGCGGAAGAGGCAACCGGAAUUCUUGGUGUAGCGGUGAAAUGCGUAGAUAUCAAGAGGAACACCUGAGGCGAAGGCGGGUUGCUGGGCCGACACUGACGCUGAUGCGCGAAAGCCGGGGGAGCAAACGGGAUUAGAUACCCCAGUAGUCCCUGUCUCUUAUAC